Molecule: ribosomal RNA, 1383 nt
Filed under: uncultured bacterium
Lineage: Bacteria
Description: bacterial SSU rRNA
Rfam family: Bacterial small subunit ribosomal RNA
Source: RNAcentral
CCUGGCUCCGUAGAGCGCUAGCUACAGGCUUAACACAUGCAAGUCGAGGGGCAGCAUUUCAGUUUGCUUGCAAACUGGAGAUGGCGACCGGCGCACGGGUGAGUAACACGUAUCCAACCUGCCGAUAACUCGGGGAUAGCCUUUCGAAAGAAAGAUUAAUACCCGAUGGCAUAAUUAGACCGCAUGGUCUUGUUAUUAAAGAAUUUCGGUUAUCGAUGGGGAUGCGUUCCAUUAGGCAGUUGGUGAGGUAACGGCUCACCAAACCUUCGAUGGAUAGGGGUUCUGAGAGGAAGGUCCCCCACAUUGGAACUGAGACACGGUCCAAACUCCUACGGGAGGCAGCAGUGAGGAAUAUUGGUCAAUGGGCGCAGGCCUGAACCAGCCAAGUAGCGUGAAGGAUGACUGCCCUAUGGGUUGUAAACUUCUUUUAUAUGGGAAUAAAGUUUUCCACGUGUGGAAUUUUGUAUGUACCAUAUGAAUAAGGAUCGGCUAACUCCGUGCCAGCAGCCGCGGUAAUACGGAGGAUCCGAGCGUUAUCCGGAUUUAUUGGGUUUAAAGGGAGCGUAGGUGGACAGUUAAGUCAGUUGUGAAAGUUUGCGGCUCAACCGUAAAAUUGCAGUUGAUACUGGCUGUCUUGAGUACAGUAGAGGUGGGCGGAAUUCGUGGUGUAGCGGUGAAAUGCUUAGAUAUCACGAAGAACUCCGAUUGCGAAGGCAGCUCACUGGACUGCAACUGACACUGAUGCUCGAAAGUGUGGGUAUCAAACAGGAUUAGAUACCCUGGUAGUCCACACAGUAAACGAUGAAUACUCGCUGUUUGCGAUAUACAGUAAGCGGCCAAGCGAAAGCAUUAAGUAUUCCACCUGGGGAGUACGCCGGCAACGGUGAAACUCAAAGGAAUUGACGGGGGCCCGCACAAGCGGAGGAACAUGUGGUUUAAUUCGAUGAUACGCGAGGAACCUUACCCGGGCUUAAAUUGCAUUUGAAUAUAUUGGAAACAGUAUAGCCGUAAGGCAAAUGUGAAGGUGCUGCAUGGUUGUCGUCAGCUCGUGCCGUGAGGUGUCGGCUUAAGUGCCAUAACGAGCGCAACCCUUAUCUUUAGUUACUAACAGGUCAUGCUGAGGACUCUAGAGAGACUGCCGUCGUAAGAUGUGAGGAAGGUGGGGAUGACGUCAAAUCAGCACGGCCCUUACGUCCGGGGCUACACACGUGUUACAAUGGGGGGUACAGAAGGCAGCUACCUGGUGACAGGAUGCUAAUCCCAAAAGCCUCUCUCAGUUCGGAUCGAAGUCUGCAACCCGACUUCGUGAAGCUGGAUUCGCUAGUAAUCGCGCAUCAGCCAUGGCGCGGUGAAUACGUUCCCGGGCCUUGUACACACCGCCCG